CUAAGGCUUCGUCUUCGAUUCGGGGGACUUUGGAAAAAUCAUUCUCUUCCUCAAGUGAAGAUUCUAGGUUAGAAAUCUCUAAUGAUUUUUCUAAUGAAAAUAGCUUAUCCUUGGCUGAGGAAUUUUCUGUUUCAUCUAACGGGGGAAAAAAUGGUUCAAAGAGAUUCAAUAAGUUACGGAAGAAAGGUAUUAAGAAACUUUGUCAUAAAUCUAAGGUGGAUUCAAUUGUGCCUCUCCAAAUUAUGAGUGAUAGUCCCAAUUCUAGCCGUAAUACGAAAGCUGAAGAUACUUGGAAUUUAGGUAAGAAGUUGGGCUUGGUUUCUCAAUGCACUGACAAAAUUCUUUUAGAUAAGCUUUCUAAGAUCCAGAGUACAUCAGUUUUGAAAUAAGUCCUCAAUUGGUAUGUUUUCAACUUAGGUGUAUGAUUUUGAUGCGCUAAGGCUUUCCCUUUGAGAUGUUUCCUUAACCCUGUCUUCUGUGAAAGCUUUUCUUUUGCUGAUUAUUUGGUGAAAUUUGGUCAUGAUUUAAGCUCAAUAUUUAGUGCUUGGUGGUUAUUAUGACAUUUGUUAUUUCUACCACCUGGUUUUCCGAUACUCUAUUUUUUCUAUUGGUUUUAUGAUCCUUCAUCCGAACUUAUUUGAGGUAGAUCUUUCAUAUGUUUUUAUUACAGAAAGCAGAAUGCAACCAUAUUUUUUUCCUCCGUUUUUUGUUGUUUUUCUACUUUAUUCUCUAUUUCUUUUACUGCUUCAGCUUUUGGCAGUUUUCUUUGCAGUCAAAGAUGCAAAUUGUUGUCCAUCACAAGUAAUCGCAAAUAAGAGUUGAGCCAGUGUUGAUGGCAUUGAAAGCUUGGUAAUUAACUUGAAAUUGGAUCUGUUUGAGCUAUAACGAGGCUUGCACGCCUAGCCUUCAUAGGCAACAUGCAACCAAAAUUGUAUAUGGUGAUGAUAAUGAUGCUGGAAAUUUUAGCUUGCAUGACAGAUUUAGAAACCAGGAAUUUCUAACCCUAGGUCUUGCUAUUGGUGCAGAAGUUACUCAUAAAGCUUCUAGUACAUAUGCCUCAAAGAAUCCAUACUGCAGAAGAGUCAUUCGGUUAUAAUUCCUAGUGAAGUGCAAUAUGGAUUGCAGCUUAGCCUAUGCAAUCCAUAGAAAACCUUCAAUGAAUUGAAUGGGCUUUCUUUGUUGAUAGGUGACUUUUCCUUUCAACAUUUUUUUAGGAGGCUAACUCCAUAGCUGAUGCUUUUGAUGGUGAGCUGUGCUUUGAUAUGUUUUUUGUGUUGCAAUACCCAGCUCUAAGGGUUGUUUUGGG
RNAcentral lists this long non-coding RNA (1306 nucleotides) under Theobroma cacao (cacao). RNAcentral describes it as "long non-coding RNA (TCAC_LNC002257)". The record is from RNAcentral. Lineage: Eukaryota; Viridiplantae; Streptophyta; Magnoliopsida; Malvales; Malvaceae.